GGACUACCGGGGUAUCUAAUCCUGUUUGCUCCCCACGCUUUCGUGUCUCAGCGUCAGUUGUCGUCCAGCAAGCCGCCUUCGCCACUGGUGUUCCUCCCAAUAUCUACGCAUUUUACCGCUACACUGGGAAUUCCGCUUACCUCUCCGACACUCAAGCUACGCAGUUUCAAACGCGACUAUGGGUUGAGCCCAUAGUUUUGACGCCUGACUUGCUUAGCCGCCUACACACCCUUUACACCCAGUAAUUCCGGAUAACGCUUGCCACCUACGUAUUACCGCGGCGGCUGGCAC
RNAcentral lists this ribosomal RNA (291 nucleotides) under uncultured bacterium. RNAcentral describes it as "partial 16S ribosomal RNA". The record is from RNAcentral.